Molecule: ribosomal RNA, 497 nt
Filed under: uncultured bacterium
Lineage: Bacteria
Description: partial 16S ribosomal RNA
Rfam family: Bacterial small subunit ribosomal RNA
Source: RNAcentral
GAUGAACGCUGGCGGCGUGCCUAAUACAUGCAAGUAGAACGCUGAAGGAAGGAGCUUGCUCUUUCCGGAUGAGUUGCGAACGGGUGAGUAACGCGUAGGUAACCUGCCUGGUAGCGGGGGAUAACUAUUGGAAACGAUAGCUAGUACCGCAUAACAGUAGAUGUUGCAUGAUAUCUACUUAAAAGGUGCAAUUGCACCACUACCAGAUGGACCUGCGUUGUAUUAGCUAGUUGGUGAGGUAACGGCUCACCAAGGCGACGAUACAUAGCCGACCUGAGAGGGUGAUCGGCCACACUGGGACUGAGACACGGCCCAGACUCCUACGGGAGGCAGCAGUAGGGAAUCUUCGGCAAUGGACGGAAGUCUGACCGAGCAACGCCGCGUGAGUGAAGAAGGUUUUCGGAUCGUAAAGCUCUGUUGUAAGAGAAGAACGAGUGUGAGAGUGGAAAGUUCACACUGUGACGGUAUCUUACCAGAAAGGGACGGCUAACUACGUG